AGCCUGGCGACAGAGUGAGACUCCAUCUGAAAAAAUAAGUAAAUAAAUAAAUAAAAAGGCAUUCGGAAUCCAGAGACAUGGAUUCUAAUCUCGACCUUGAACUCGGGUAAAAAAUGUUGAUAAUAGUAUCUCCUGGGCAGGACCAUUGUGAAGGUCAUGGAAAUAUGAUGGAAUUUAAAGCAGUAUUGAGAAAUUAUUUUUUCCCACUUCACUUUAGGUUACUCAAAUGGCACCAAUGUGCUAAUUAAGGAGCUAUGAUUUGAAAUCCCAGUUAGGUCCUGGCUUAUGAACAUAACCUUUUCAGCUUCCCGCAUUGCUUUGGAAUUCUUGUGUCCCAACACUCCCCUAGACACUCCCAGAAUGUGAGCUUACCCUGGCAAGGUACCAAGGGAUGGGCCAUUUGUUUAUCAGCGUUGCCUGGUACUGGCAAGGGUCAUUGAAGGUGGGAUACAAUUAUAGGCUUGCCCGUCACUCGGCCCUGUUUGUAACCUGGGUCACAAUCUCCAUCAUACCACCUGGCACGACUCUCUGGGCCAGUCCCUGAGAUGACUAUGUUGUCAAAGACAAAUCGUGGGUCAAGAUUGAAAUGGGGGACAGUCUGGAAUUUACGAGGAUGAGAUAGAAUGGACAGCCCUGUGACAUCAACUUGGAAGAGGUUGGACUCCAGAUUUGGAUACUCAGAUCCCGGAGAAAUGGCUUGAGAAAGACAUGUUGAAGAGGAAAAAUACGUUAAGGCUUGCCAAUCAGCUGACUGCAGCAGCAGCAGCAGCAGCAGCAGCAGCAGUGAUGCACAGAUCUGAUCUGCGUUGGCAAUAUACUUGUAAUUCGGACAUGCAUCUCCAGGACACCAGCCUUAGCAGGAAGGGGAGCCAAUCAAGGGGAAACAAUUAUGCAAAUUUAAAAUGUAAACUCUCUGGAGCCCCUGCCACAACCUGAUCUCUAUAAGAAUCAUGAUGUUUCCAAGGCAGCACAUGGUUUGGGGAAAUUGGAGAGAAUACUCCCGAUGGAAAGGGAUAACAUCACAGCUGCCACAACAAUGCUAUCCAGUGAGCAAAUGUCGGAUGUUCAGAGGGACCAAGUCAUCUUGAUUAGAAUCGUGGAGGUUCAAGGAAGACAUGUACAGAAUAUCACCAGUGGGAAUCUACUGUGGAAAAUUGAGUACAACACUAUCAUCAUAUGAUUUGUUUUGCUCAUAUUUGGCUGUGCCAUUGGCUGCGGAGCCAGGCAGCGAACUCCACACAAUGAGGAGCCUGUGAAAACGCAGAGAAGGCAAGAAAGGAUGCAAACAUUUAGGCAGCAUCUGAUGGUAGCUGGCUUGUGGUUUACCUGGCCUUUGGUUAGAUAACUGUGCCUGAUCCCUAUGGCCAGGAAGGAAGACAGUGCUAAUGAAAAUGAAGAUCUGUACAACAAAAGUACAGGCCUACCUCAGAGAUAUUGGAGUGUUCAGUUCCAGACCACGCAAUAAAGUGAAUAUCACAAUGAAGAGCUGAAGAAUUCACAUUUGGGCUGAUGGGCCUGGGGUAGGGAUGACCAACAGACCACAUGCUUCUUGUCUCUUCUACUCCCUGAUCCUCUGAUAGACAGGGCUAAGUGAUCAUCCACUCCUUCCACCCUCCAGCCUCCGAGUGGGCCACUUUUCAAGCAUGGAAUUCCAGGGAGCCCUGGAAUCCUGUGGAUACCGAGGGACGAUUGUACAUUUUGAGAACCGAAGCCCGGUGCUACCCUGUUGCAGCGAUGAAGUAUCCAGGUCACCUGGAGAAAGCUGACAUAAGAGCAGGCACACAGCAGGAAGCUUUGAUCCUCAUCUUCUCUCUGGCUGCAGCCCUCAGCUCUUGUGCACCAACUCUGACCAAUGACUAGGACUGGCUGCUCGGAGUACAGCUGUAUUGAGAAAGAUUCUGAGGCUGGGUCUGCAUUCAGCAGGAAAAAAAAUGAAGUAAUUGUUUGGUAAUGCCUGACAUAGGCCUAAGAAUGGGGGAAACGGUAACCCUCCUGCCAGGUUUUGUAGAAUUUUCUCUAAUUCAUUUUCUUUAGAGAUACGGUAAGGACCCGCCCCCACCCAAAUGGGUAAAAGGCAAAGCCUGGUUUCCAUUUUUUUGUAAAGCCUCAGAUCACAGGGGCACCUGAGCCAUUAGUGUCCCAAUGGCAGGGCAAGGCAGGCAUGUCUAUAAAUCUCCAGUUUUUUGUUUGCUUAUUUUCUUCUUUAAACUGCUUACAAUUUCUCCUCUUUCAUCCUCAUUUCCACAGGAGGUGUAACACUAUGGACGAGUGGGCAACUGGCUCUUCAGGCUUGGAACCAAGAGGGGGCAGCAGAGAGCAGAGAAGAAUUGGUUGGCUUGGGCUGACCCAGACCUAGGAAAACUUCCAAUCUUCUUCUUCUUCCCUCAAAACCGAAUCCUUGUGGACUCACUCUUGAGACUAUUGUCCACACAAGUGGUGUGGUCCAAGGCCACAGCAAGAAAGGUCUGAGGGAGUUCUUUGGGGUUCAGGUGGAGAAAAGCCUGUGCUGGAUGCCAGGCUGCUCUGAGAACAGGAAGGAAGAUAAUAAUGUUAACAGCAACAGUUACAAUUACCCAGCCCCUGUAGGGUGCCAGGCCCUCUGCCAAGGUGCUUUCUUUUCAUUCUCUCAAAGACUACUUGAGGUGGGGAAACCCCCAGUUUACAGAUGAGAAAACAGGGUCCCAGAGUGGUUAAAUACCUUGCCCAUGAUCACGUGACUAAGGGAGGGCCAAGCCACAUUUUAGACUCUUGCCUGUCCUGCCCUCUGUGUUAUGGUGCCCUUCCAGGAAGGAGGCAGAAAGGUGCACCUGGAGUUAGAAUAUCCUUGGGGAGUGUCCCGGACCCAAGGGAAGGCAAACGGUCCUUCUGGUACAGACUGCUGUCUCCUGAUGGCCACGGGUCUCCUGACAGAUUUAGCCAAUUCACUGGCUCACAGGUCCAUGCACCAUCCUCAGCAGAGCCGGGGUAAGGUAGCUGGGCUCGAACAGCCCCAGAAAAAGGCAAAAAGAAAGAUAACAGAAACUUGUAUGGAACUUUCAAGUACUCACUGUGGAAGUCAUUGAUUUAUCUGCCUACUGUGAGAGUUAUGUCACGUUGGAAGGUCACAUUAGAACGCCCCUCACCUCCUGCAGCCUCAGCUCCACCCUGGGCUCAGAGAUCAAUCCUUGCCUUAUUUAGGGAAGCACAUCCAAGCAUAUUUGAAACUUUUGGGAUGGGCUUGGGGAUACUGGCACCAGGGACAUCUUGCUGUCAGUACUGUCCUGAUUCUGAGAACUCCACUAACGCCACAUUCCUCAAUCCAAGCCUGGAUCUGGGACUCAGGCUGCUGCCUCACUAAAUGCCUUAUCUUUUGGGUCACUGCAGACCAGGGCCCUGCCUUCUUUAGCCAAUGUCUGUUUCCCUCAUCUGGCAGUAGGACAUCAGUCUACCAAAAGAGUCACAUGUUCAUAUCCCAGCUUAGGUCCAAGUUGUGAACCAACUUCAUUUCUUAAUGUAAUCACUUUUUUGGUAUUGCUUUUUUUCUCUAAAAAGUAUGUAUAUUUUCUGAUCCUACAUGUAAUAUUUUCUGGGCCAGUUGCAGUGGCACACACCUGAGCUACUCAAGGAAGCUGAGGCGGGAGGAUCCCUUGAGCCCAGG
RNAcentral lists this long non-coding RNA (3637 nucleotides) under Homo sapiens (human). RNAcentral describes it as "HSALNT0361726". Lineage: Eukaryota; Metazoa; Chordata; Mammalia; Primates; Hominidae. The record is from RNAcentral.